CUGGCAAUUUUGAUAAUCAGAAAAACUACUUUAUCAAUAAAUCAUACUAUCUAUCCUAAGAAAACUCCUAUAGAAAACAUGAUGAGAUACUAAGAAGUGGGAGAAGAAAUCUCCAGCUAUAUAUGGAAUGCCUGUUGAAAAAAUUUAGUCACACGGGAACAUGAUGUUUGAAACAUUGAAGAUCUGAUAGAAACAAAGAAUACGGAUCUUGAACCUAAGACCCACUUUUUAAACAUGAGUAUUGGAUGAAAGAAUGUUCAUGCAGUAUGGCUGAACCAUCAAAGAAAGUGUGAUUCUGCUGGAUUUUCUCUUCAAGUAUUAUUAGAGAUUUUAGGAGCCCUAGGAAUCAAUUCCUCUUACAGAACUACUUCCAAUGGAAAAUGAAAACAUGACCAUAUGGAUGGAUGCCCCCAAUUUUCACCUUCAAAUUUCCUUAAAAUCAGUUCAGAAAUGUGAUAAAACAAGUCUGUGUUACUACUAGAAAACAUUUUUUUUAACUGUCCCAUACAAGUGCCAGAUAUUUGGAGGCAAUUCUAUGAAUACUGAAAAAGGACUCGAGACUGGAAUUUCCAUUACACAAAUAAAAUGCCAAAAUGAGGAGUAAGUGGAGGAGCCCCCAGCAGAACUAUACUCAGACCUCAUACUCAAGAGAAGCAAAUGAACU
Long non-coding RNA from Bubalus bubalis (water buffalo), 664 nucleotides. RefSeq lists it as uncharacterized. The record is from RefSeq and is a predicted model, not a curated record. NCBI's taxonomy places the organism in Eukaryota, Metazoa, Chordata, Mammalia, Artiodactyla, Bovidae. The transcript is spliced from 3 exons.